This 436-nucleotide ribosomal RNA is filed under the name Hoploplana ornata. Its description in RNAcentral is "partial 16S ribosomal RNA". It matches the Rfam family "Bacterial large subunit ribosomal RNA", at positions 1829 to 2597 of the family's 2925-position model. Lineage: Eukaryota; Metazoa; Platyhelminthes; Polycladida; Hoploplanidae. The record is from RNAcentral.
UUCCUUUAGUAAAUAUUUAAAGGUAUUACCUGCCCCAUGUUAUGAACAAAUGGCUGCGGUAUCUUAACUGCACUAAGGUAGCAUAAUUAAUUGUCUUUUAAAUGGUGACUUGUUUGAAUGGUUUAAUGCGAGAAAAUUUUUCUUUGGGCUAGGUUUAAUUUAUAUUCUUGGUCAAAAUACCCAGAUAAAAAAGAAAGACGAGAAGACCCUGUUGAGUUUUACAACAACUUAAGUUGUUAAAAUGGGAAAUUUAAUUUCAUAUUGAAAUUUUUUAGAUCCUACUUUGAGGAAAAAGGAUUAAAUUACCACAGGGAUAACAGGACAAUAUCUACUAAGAGUUCUAAUUGAAGUAGAUGUUUGUUACCUCGAUGUUGAAUCGAAAUUUCUUCUUGGUGCAGCAGCCAAAGAAGUAGGUCUGUUCGACCUUUUAAAUUUC